UUCUCAGAACUUAUACUUUAGAACGCUUGUAAGUAAGUAGUUUCCUCUCUUUGAAAUGUAUAUAAAGCCUUUUGAAAACUAGAUGGGCCUUUUCUCAGCUUGAUGACCCAUGAAUACUUUUCUCAAAGGCCUGGAGCCAUCUCUUUGAAAUGUAAACAUCAAGGAAAAUAGCACUUCAAUCUGCCAGUUUCUGUGAGAGUGUAGGAGCCUUGCUGCAAGUUGCAAAACUACCUCCAGUCAUAAAGAUACGAGAAGUUUGUUUCUCUACUAGAUACAGCUGAUAAGCUAACACUGACAGCACUCCAUUUACCAUGUGAGUCAAGGAUGAACUAUGUGUGACAAAUGGUGCUGUCAAGACCCCUUACUUGAGUACUAGUAAUUGUCUUGAGGACAUGUAUGUAAUGGGUUCUAUCUGCUUGGUCUUACUAAGGGGUGGAUUUUUUUGUUUGUGUGUGUUUAUCUGUCUUUGAAAUCUCUGCCAGUGGUGUGAUUCACAUUCCGAUCUUUACUCACUAACACACCUGUUUUCUGUCUCCACUACCUCGUGGAGAGGUUUUCUGGUGUAGGAGAAGAUUUUGUUUUUAAUGCUGUUUCCCCAGAAGGUGCAAAUAAUUCUUCAGGCAGGUUUCCCAGGGUCAGUAGUGAGCCUGACCCAGGGGUAGAGCCCCAAGGGCUCAGUCUGUGAGGCUUCCCUUGGACCACAGGGCCACAUACUCUGACCUGCUCUGCUCCUGCUAAUCUGGGCACCAGGGCACCUGUUAGUGAAAGCAGGGCCAGCACUAGCCUGGCUGACUUUCCUGACAGCUGCCUCCAGUGUAGGCUCUGACAGCAUAUCCCAGCCUCCAGUUUCCCUGGCUCAGUGGGCACCUUCCUCAUCUCUGCAGGAGCUGCUUCGUGGCAACUCUGUGAUUUGGAUUGUGAAGGAAAUGCUUCUUGAAGAAUGAUGCUGGAGUGGCCGCCUCUUGAGAAUUCAUAGUUGUGAUGAUCCACUAAGUGAUCCAGAGCAGAGUCUUUUCCUUUGCGUGAACUCUACAAAGAUCUGGACCCUGGUAGAAGCAGAGGACCUUCUCAGGGAUUUCAGGCAAAUUUGGAUGGUGGGAUACUCUUCUGUUUCUGGACCUUUUCUUACUGGUAAAUUGGGGAGUUGGAGCCAGAUAUGGUCAGAUUCCUCUACAAUCUUUAAAGACAUCAGUUUAAGGAGUUCCAUAUCACUGCCUGAUGAAAAGGAAGCUCUCAGGGCAAGCUCUGCCUGCAGCUUAUCCACCUCGGCCAUGCCUGGGCAGGUUUGUUAAAUUCAGGGUGAACUUUUAGGGAACUUAUUUGUUUUGGUCAGUAAUAAGCUGCUACUUUGAUCUUUAGUCAUCUGACUCCUGUGCUUGCCUCCCUGUCAGUUCUGAACUCAGAAGGAAGAAUGAUGUUAAGUCCCAUCAACAUAAUGUUAAUAUUAUUUAGAAACAUUGUGGUAAGCACCAGAUGAAAGAGCUAAAUAGUUGAAAGUCAUUGCUUCUGAGGAGGGGAGAAGGCAUAGAAAGUGGGUGGGAGGCAAAGGACUUUUUUUUUACGGAAGCGUGUUAUAUGUGACUCUUUAAGGUAUAUACAUGUCAUGUGUUGCUAAGUACAAAAAUUGAUGUAAAAUAUCAUAUCAAAACAUAUAAAAAUUCAAAGCCCCCUCCUCACACCUGGCCUUACUUCUCUCAGGGAGGAAAUCUAGGAGGCCUUCUUCUCUCCUUGCUCCUCUCGCCCCGACCUAGGUGGUGUCCAGCCCUUGAUGUGUCCUGUGCCCAUCACCACUCUUGCAUGCCCACCACUCUUGCCUUGGUCAUUUCCCUAACUGUCUCUCUGCUGGACCAUUGCAUCAUGUUCUCCAUAAGUCAUCUGUUAUGGAUUGAACUACAUCCCCAGAAAUUCCUGUGCUGAAGGUCCAACCCCCAGUACCUCAGAUGUAACAGUAUUUGGAGACUGAGCCUUUAAGGAGGUAAAGUUAUAUUUGUUGGCUGUAAGGGUUUCACCAGGGGAAGACUGUGUGAGGACAAAGAGAAGACCAUCAUCACAAUCCAUGAAGAUGGGACUCAAAAGCAACAGUCCUGCUGACACCUUUGAUCUCAGACUUCAAACCUCCAGCACUGUGAGAAGAGAAAUUCCUGUUAUUUAAGCUGCCCAGUGUGUGGCACUUUGUUAUGGCAGUCAUGACCAGCUAAUACAUCAUCUCCCUUCCUUCCUUGGCCAUGGUCUGAUUCAUCUUCCAAAACAAUGUGAAAGGAAGCCUCCAGUGAUGCAUAUCUAAUCAUUAUUUCCCUGAUUUUAAAUCCUAAAUGACUUCCUAUCACUGCUAGUUAAAACCUGGUUCCUUAGCAUGAGAUGGAAAGUCCUCUCUUAUCUUCUCUUGCCUGACUCUUCCUUUCUGAAGCCCCAGCCAUAGUGAAGUACUUGUCCUCCUGAAGGUGUCACCUUAAGCUUUACUAUCUCUGCAGGUGCAUCUUUCUUUCCCAGAACACCUUCAUUCUUAUCACUCCUCUUGUCACUAAUUUCAAUCUCAGGUCAAGCCCCAUUUCCUCUAUGGAAGCUUCCCGCCAGACAGAAUUGACCUUUUCUUUCCCUUAUGUUCACUCUGGAUGGUAUAUAGAAUUCAUCCUAUAUUUGUAGCAUUUUUAUUGCCAUUAUUUUAUCUUAUUCACCUAAUCCUUAAAAGCAGAGACUAUGUUGUGAUGAUGUACACUUACACUCAAGACUUAACAUAAUACCUGAAAUAUGCUAGGUGCUCAAAAAAUGUUGACCAAAUAAAUGAAUCUGUGAAGUUGAAAUAAUUAUGUUAGUAUAGCAUACUUCAGGAAGUAAUUCUCCUAUAGUAUAUGCAGAAAUUUUAAGCAAUAUAAUUACAAUGUAAGUAAUUGUUUUUGAACUCUUAAAGAUGAAAUGAUUGCUUAAUGAUGAGUUUGCACAUACACUGAUAACAAGUCAUUUCUGACCCUUAAAAUUCAGUUGGUUCUUCUUAAAACAUGGAAUCAUGAAAAUAUAUUGCUGAGAAAAAUAUUAGAGAUGAUCUGAUCCAAACCUUUCUUUUUAUCAACAAGGAAAUUGAGACACAGACUGCACAUCACCACACAGCCCCGUGCUACCACAGCAGGUCUCUUGAUUCUCUGCCUGAUACUCAUCUGGCCUCUGAUGAAAACAGAAACACUGCACUAGAUUGGUCUGAAGGAAAGGGAAUGUAAAUGAAUUAAGUGAAGGAAAAAUGCCACCCAAUUUACAUUUAUAAAAGUAAUAGACUCAGACUCUUAAAUUGUUUCUAAAUAAAAUAUUGUGAGUGAACUUCAUCCAAUAUUGAUAUAUCCUUUGGCCAUGGGGCAUUUUUGAGUAUUUAUUUGAUAUUGUGAAAUAUUGCAUUUGAAUAAUGUAUAACAAGAUGUUAUCCAAAUUGCCUUUGAAUAAUGUAUAACAAGAAAGCUUUUCUUUA
Molecule: long non-coding RNA, 3454 nt
Organism: Bubalus bubalis (water buffalo)
Lineage: Eukaryota; Metazoa; Chordata; Mammalia; Artiodactyla; Bovidae
Exons: 3
Source: RefSeq, a predicted model, not a curated record